CCUACGGGGGGCAGCAGUGAGGAAUAUUGGUCAAUGGACGGAAGUCUGAACCAGCCAUGCCGCGUGCAGGAUGACGGCUCUAUGAGUUGUAAACUGCUUUUGUACGAGAAUAAUAGUUCUUACGUGUAGGGAUUUGAAUGUAUCGUACGAAUAAGGAUCGGCUAACUCCGUGCCAGCAGCCGCGGUAAUACGGAGGAUUCGAGCGUUAUCCGGAUUUAUUGGGUUUAAAGGGUGCGUAGGCUGUUGGAUAAGUUAGAGGUCAAAUGUCGGGGCUUAACCCCGUGCCUGCCUCUGAUACUGUUCGA
Molecule: ribosomal RNA, 305 nt
Filed under: uncultured bacterium
Lineage: Bacteria
Description: bacterial SSU rRNA
Rfam family: Bacterial small subunit ribosomal RNA
Source: RNAcentral